Non-coding RNA from Oscillibacter sp. KLE 1745, 202 nucleotides. Lineage: Bacteria; Bacillati; Bacillota; Clostridia; Eubacteriales; Oscillospiraceae. The record is from Rfam.
UAGAACUGAUAUUCCGACAGGUGGAAUGAUGGGGUAACGCCCUGAAACGUCUGCCCUAAGACUGCGCCGGGCAUGGUGCAAGCGCAAAGACGCACUGUGUCCGAGAGCGCGCGGAAGUCGGCGGAAGUCUGUCCUAACGGGUCAAGCCGAGGAAAGCGCCCCAGCGGUGGGGUGUGCGGAUGAUACGCCGGGGGUCUACAAA